GACGAACGCUGGCGGCGUGCUUAACACAUGCAAGUCGAACGGAAAGGCCCUGCUUUUGUGGGGUGCUCGAGUGGCGAACGGGUGAGUAACACGUGAGUAACCUGCCCUUGACUUUGGGAUAACUUCAGGAAACUGGGGCUAAUACCGGAUAGGAGCUCCUGCUGCAUGGUGGGGGUUGGAAAGUUUCGGCGGUUGGGGAUGGACUCGCGGCUUAUCAGCGUGUUGGUGGGGUAGUGGCUUACCAAGGCUUUGACGGGUAGCCGGCCUGAGAGGGUGACCGGCCACAUUGGGACUGAGAUACGGCCCAGACUCCUACGGGAGGCAGCAGUGGGGAAUAUUGCACAAUGGGCGGAAGCCUGAUGCAGCAACGCCGCGUGCGGGAUGACGGCCUUCGGGUUGUAAACCGCUUUCGCCUGUGACGAAGCGUGAGUGACGGUAAUGGGUAAAGAAGCACCGGCUAACUACGUG
This 468-nucleotide ribosomal RNA is filed under the name uncultured bacterium. RNAcentral describes it as "partial 16S ribosomal RNA". It matches the Rfam family "Bacterial small subunit ribosomal RNA", at positions 28 to 507 of the family's 1533-position model. The record is from RNAcentral.